UACGUAGGGGGCGAGCGUUGUCCGGAAUUACUGGGCGUAAAGGGCGCCUAGGCGGUUUUUUAAGUCCGCUGUGAAAGACCGAGGCUCAAUCUCGGGAUGUCAGCGGAGACUGGAAGACUGGAGUGUCGGAGAGGAGUGCGGAAUUCCUGGUGUAGCGGUGGAAUGCGUAGAGAUGCGGAGGAACACCGAUGGCGAAGGCAGCCCCCUGGGCUAACACUGACGCUCAGGCACGAAAGCGUGGGGAGCAAACAGG
RNAcentral lists this ribosomal RNA (253 nucleotides) under uncultured bacterium. Its description in RNAcentral is "partial 16S ribosomal RNA". It matches the Rfam family "Bacterial small subunit ribosomal RNA", at positions 524 to 776 of the family's 1533-position model. The record is from RNAcentral.